RNAcentral lists this ribosomal RNA (253 nucleotides) under uncultured prokaryote. RNAcentral's name for it is "partial 16S ribosomal RNA". It matches the Rfam family "Bacterial small subunit ribosomal RNA", at positions 525 to 777 of the family's 1533-position model. The record is from RNAcentral.
ACGGAGGGGACGAGCGUUGUCCGAAGUUACUGGGCGUAGAGCGCGCGUAGGCGGGAGAGUAAGUCCGCUGUGAAAGCCCGGGGCUCAACCCCGGAGGGUCGGUGGAUACUGCUUUUCUUGAAGGUGCUCGGGGGAGAUGGAAUUACCGGUGUAGCGGUGAAAUGCGUAGAUAUCGGUAGGAACACCAGUGGCGAAGGCGGUCUCCUGGGGCAUUCUUGACGCUGAGGCGCGAAAGCUGGGGGAGCGAACGGGA